GACGAACCGUGCGGACGUUGUUCGGAAUCACUGGGCUUAAAGGGCGCGUAGGCGGGCUGACAAGUCUGGGGUGAAAUGCCGCGGCUCAACCGUGGAACUGCCUUAGAUACUGUCGGCCUCGAGGAAGGUAGGGGCAUGCGGAACUGUAGGUGGAGCGGUGAAAUGCGUUGAUAUCUACAGGAACUCCGGUGGCGAAAGCGGCGUGCUGGACCUUUUCUGACGCUGAGGCGCGAAAGCUAGGGGAGCAAACGGG
RNAcentral lists this ribosomal RNA (253 nucleotides) under uncultured bacterium. RNAcentral describes it as "partial 16S ribosomal RNA". It matches the Rfam family "Bacterial small subunit ribosomal RNA", at positions 524 to 776 of the family's 1533-position model. The record is from RNAcentral.